AUUGAACGCUGGCGGCAUGCCUUACACAUGCAAGUCGAACGGCAGCAUAGGAGCUUGCUCCUGGUGGCGAGUGGCGAACGGGUGAGUAAUAUAUCGGAACGUGCCCUAGAGUGGGGGAUAACUAGUCGAAAGACUAGCUAAUACCGCAUACGAUCUACGGAUGAAAGUGGGGGAUCGCAAGACCUCAUGCUCCUGGAGCGGCCGAUAUCUGAUUAGCUAGUUGGUGGGGUAAAAGCUCACCAAGGCGACGAUCAGUAGCUGGUCUGAGAGGACGACCAGCCACACUGGGACUGGGACACGGCCCAGACUCCUACGGGAGGCAGCAGUGGGGAAUGUUGGACAAUGGGGGCAACCCUGAUCCAGCAAUGCCGCGUGAGUGAAGAAGGCCUUCGGGUUGUAAAGCUCUUUUGUCAGGGAAGAAACGGUUCUGGAUAAUACCUGGGACUAAUGACGGUACCUGAAGAAUAAGCACCGGCUAACUACGUGCCAGCCGCCGCGGUAA
RNAcentral lists this ribosomal RNA (502 nucleotides) under uncultured bacterium. RNAcentral describes it as "partial 16S ribosomal RNA". It matches the Rfam family "Bacterial small subunit ribosomal RNA", at positions 30 to 523 of the family's 1533-position model. The record is from RNAcentral.